CCAUUUGCAAUCCUUUCCAAGAACAUGAAGCAGGCUCUCAGAGAGACUCAACUCUUCUUAUCUGGCUUUGGAAACAAUCACGGGCUCAGGCUACCUGUGCAUUUUAGCUCCAAAAGGGCCACCCUUCCCUUUAUUCACUAGAGGUGGCAUAUUCAUGAAAGGAAUUGCAUCCCUUGGAAGUGACUGGAGACUACAUUCCUGAAGACUCUGCUGACAGAACAAUGAGGUGAGGGCAGAUGGAGAAGUCAACAUGGAGACAGAAUAACCUCUUAGACACUUUUCAGUGACCAAGUAUUUCUAGAGUCCUAGUUCAAGCCUUGCUCAUCCUCUUUGAUGAUUCAACCUCCCUCCUCGUGCUGGAAAACUGAAAUUUGAUGUUUAACCUGGCCUUAGUAACCACAGUAGAUAUGCUGAGUAUUUCUUUUCUUUCUGGCCUUUAGACAAUUUGGGAGGAUACACUGUUGACAUCUUAUCUUUCUUCUGCAGACUGGACUCGUUGGGAGUGGAUUUUCUGAUGAUAAAUGUAAAAGAAAGCCCUCUCCCCGGAAGGAGAGAAUAACCUAAUUGCUCAUUCUACUUAAAAUUGAAGAGGUUUGGGAAUUCCCUGGCAGUCCAGUGGUUAGGAUUCCUUGCUUCCACUGCAGGGGGUAUGGGUUUGAUCCCUGGUUGCUGGUUGGGGAACUAAGAUCCCGCGUGCCAUGUGGCAAGGCCAAAAUCAAUAAAUAAAUAAACGGAAGAGGCUUGCUGAUGAUGUGUAGAAGAGCAACAACAGAAUUCCAUGCAUACCUUUAUAACAUUCUCAGCAGAACGUGUGUACCCAAUGUAUAUAGCUAGAUCCACAAAUAAGGCAACAAACCAUAUGGACCCACUGACGCUUAUGAUUCUCAUUAAGCUUUCAAAACAAGUUUGUGAACAGAAACGGACAGAGAAUGAUGUAUCAAGCACCCCACGUACCCACAGCAAAACAAUGAAAACUUAACCAUUUGCAAUAGGGCUUUUUUUCCUUUUAAAGAAAUGAAACAUCACAAAUAUGCUUGAGACUCUCUGGGACCUCUCUCUAUUCCUAUUUUUCUCCUUCCCCAAAUGGAUUUUGUUUUUUAUCAUUCCUAAGUCUGUUUUAAUAUUUUUUACUACCUAUGCAAUAUCAUAAACUACAGUAUUGUUUUGCAUGUUUUAAAACUUUCCGUAAGUGGAUCAUUCCGUGUGCAUCAUUUUACAACAUUUUUUUUUUUUACUCAAUAUCAUAUUUUAGAAAUGUAUCCAUGUUUAUGUGUCUAAUUUAACUCACUCAUUUUAGGUGCUAUAAAACAUUCCAUUGUAUGAAUAAACCACAAUUGGUUUUUCCAUUUUCCAGCUGAUAAACACUUAGGUUAUUUCUAAUGUUUACAUAUAGCAAACAAGACCUCUGCAAAUAUUCCUGGACAUGGUUCUUUGCGUAUAUAUGCCUAGAAGUGGAAAUGCUGCUUAUAUACAAUGUGUGGCUUCAACCUUAUUAUAAUCUCACCAGCAUGUUUGAAAUUUGUCUUUCCCCCCCAUUCUUACCCACAGUUGAUAUUAACAGAUUGAAUUUUAUUUUACUACUAUUAUUUUUACCAAUUUGAUGUCUGUGAAUAGUAUUUCAUUCUGGUUUUAAUUUGCAUUUUCCUAAUUACUACUGAUGAGAAGGAGUUAUUUAUAUAUUUUUGAUGCUAAACCUUUGUGGGUUUUUAGGCAUCAAAAAUAUUUGGUUAAGUUCUUUGCACCUUGUUUUCGGUGCGCCCUGAAUAAAGAGAAGUUCUGAAUUUUAAUGUA
Long non-coding RNA from Orcinus orca (killer whale), 1791 nucleotides. RefSeq lists it as uncharacterized. The record is from RefSeq and is a predicted model, not a curated record. Lineage: Eukaryota; Metazoa; Chordata; Mammalia; Artiodactyla; Delphinidae. The transcript is spliced from 4 exons.